GGACAGUGGACAUGGCAGUGGACAUUCUGGCCCUGGCUAGUAGUAUGCAGAGAGGAAAUCCAGCUAAAAUGUAGCUUUUCCCUGGCUCAUUCAUAGUUGAGAUAGUGGGUGUGCGUAUAAUAAAUGGCUGACAGUCCCAUACACUAAACAAUUCUGGGAUGGAAGAGUCCAGUUAAAACCAGAAACUUGGGGGUGAGGAGUGAGCAACCUCUCUCUCUCUCUCUCUCUCUCUCUCUCUCUCUCUCUCUCUCUCUCUCGAUGGAAACUUUCCCAAAGCAUGCACUUGCUCUCUAUUUGAGUUUCUCAUUUCAUAAACUGGGAUCAAUUUGUAGUCCUUACAGGAAAAAAAAAGGUAUCAUGGGCAUUAAAAAAUUCACGUAGGAAAAAAGACUGCCCCUUGCCAUAGAGUGUAACCCAAAUCCAGCACUAACAGAAAGUUUACUCAGUAGCCCAGGUUUCACAGAUGAGGCAACUCAGUGCCAGAGAAGGCCAGUGACUUGCUGCAUGUUGCAAAGGGAGUUUGUGACAUGGCCAGGAUUGGAAGCUAGGGCUCAUCUCUUUGUUUAGUUUUUUCCCCCAAGUAAUCAAAAGCCUCCAAAGCACGCAGAACAUCCCUCCAAAUAAGUAAGAAAUUAUUUUAGAAAUUGCACUUACAAGAUUUCCAUCAAUUCAACAAAUGUUCAUUGAACAUACACUGUGUACUAAUGGAGCUGAUAUUUGUGGAGCAAUGAUAGAAAGAUAUAGCACAGUCUUUAUCCUCCAGUAGCUCACUGAGUAAACAAGAGGCAAAGAUUUGAAACAGAUAAAAAUAACAGGCACUAUGUGAUAAGUGCCAAAAUUGAAAGAAUAGUGUGUCCAAGGAAGUACUCAAAGUCAACAGUCUGUGAUGCUUCCCAGCUUAUAGCGAAGGUGACUUUAAGUUAGGCGAGAGGGUAUUUAAGUAGCUGCUGCUCAAUUCAAGGGGAUUUCCUAAUACAUUGGGAGCUAGGUGGCUUGGAGAAAGGAGGAGAAUUUCAAGCAAGUAAGCUAGUUCUUAGCCUCAGAAUUUUUUUUUUCAGUGUUUGCAAUCAAACCCAGGCUUUUCACAUGAUAGGCAAGCACUAUAUCACCAAGCUACCUUCUCAGCUAUGGAAUUUGUACUGUUAAUGGAUCCUCACAUGAUCAUGGUGCUUAGCUAGGUGUGGUGUCCAGUUGUAUAAAGGAUGAUGGAGAGUAGAUUAGAGUGCUAUACACCAAUCCAUCUCUUCCUUCCUUAUCCUCAGUUUCUCUAGGGUAGGAACAUCAAUAAUUCUUCUCUCAAUUUUGCUGAAAAGCAAGUUGAGAGUCCAGAGACUUUCACAGAUGUGCCCAAGGUCAUUCUUCAACUAGAGGUCACUCUGGUCUCCUACCAACCAGUAGAAACAGAAAGAUGGCAAAAUAUCAUCCCAAGGAAUAUUUGCUUCACUUCUCUGCAAGACAAGUCUGACCCACUUGGUUAGCCAGGGAGUCUGUUGCCCAAAGUACAAAAAGGAACAAAUCUGUGGAACUGCCAGGUGUGUAGAACAGAGCCCAAGGCGAGGUUAGUCCCUGGGAGUGCAGUGGCACCCCCUUUCUCCACAGAAAAGCCCUCUUCAC
RNAcentral lists this long non-coding RNA (1614 nucleotides) under Marmota monax (woodchuck). Lineage: Eukaryota; Metazoa; Chordata; Mammalia; Rodentia; Sciuridae. The record is from RNAcentral.